UUCCAUGUUCUCUACGUUCCUCUAUGUUCCUCCGCGUUUCACCAGGUUCUUCAGAUCUUCCAUUUUCUAUCGUGUUCUUCAUGUUCCUCCAUGUUUUCUAUCUCUUCCCGUGUCUUCCAUGUUCUCCGUGUUUCUCUGUGUUCCUCUAUGUUUCUCUGCGCCCCCCCAUGUUCUCCACGUUCCACCAUGUUCUUCAGAUGUUCCAUUUUCUUUCAUAUUCUUCAUGUUCCUCUAUGUAUUUCGUGUCUUCUUGUGUCUUCCACGUUCUCCAUGUUCCUCUACGUUUCUCCCCGUUCCACCAUGUUCUUCAGAUCUUCCGUCUUCCUUUGUAUUCUUCAUGUUCCUCCAUGGUCCUCCAUGGUCUUCCAUGUUUAUGUCUUCCUCAUUCUCCGUGUUCCUCUACGUUCUUUCACGUCCCCCCAUGUUCUCCACGUUCCACCGUGUUCUCCAUGUUUUCCAUCUUCCUUUCUAUUCUUCAUGUUCCUCUAUGUUUUUCGUGUCUUUCACGUCUUCCAUGUUCUCCAUGUUCCUCUACGUUCCUCCACGUCCCCCCAUGUUCUCCACGUUCCGCCAUGUUCUUCAGGUCUUCCAUCUUUCUUCACAUUUUUCACGUUCUUCCAUGUUUUCCAUGUUUUUCCAUGUCUUCAAUGUUCUUCAUGUUCCUCUACGUUUCUCCACGUUCCACCAUGUUCUUCAGAUCUUCCGUCUUCGUUCGUUUUCUCCGUGUUCCUCCAUGUUUUCCCAUGUCUUCCAUGUUCUCCAUGUUCCUCUACGUUCCUCCACCUCCCCCCAUGUUCUCUAUGUUCCACUAUGUUCUUCAGAUCUUCCAUCUUCCUUCGCGUACUUCAUGUUUCUUUAUGUUUUCCAUGUUUUCCCACGUCUUCCAUGUUUUCCAUGUUCAUCUACGUUCUUCCCCGUUCCACCAUGUUCUUCUGAUCUUCCAUCUUCCUUCAUAUUCUCCAUGUUUCUCUGUUUUCCAUGUCUUUUCAUGGCUUCCGUGUUCUCCACGUUCCUCUACGUUUCUCUACAUUCC
RNAcentral lists this long non-coding RNA (1033 nucleotides) under Apteryx haastii (Great spotted kiwi). RNAcentral describes it as "lncRNA (ENSAHAG00000008934.1)". The record is from RNAcentral. Lineage: Eukaryota; Metazoa; Chordata; Aves; Apterygiformes; Apterygidae.